Long non-coding RNA from Xenia sp. Carnegie-2017, 541 nucleotides. RefSeq lists it as uncharacterized. Lineage: Eukaryota; Metazoa; Cnidaria; Anthozoa; Malacalcyonacea; Xeniidae. The transcript has 3 exons. The record is from RefSeq and is a predicted model, not a curated record.
UUGGUUAUUUGUCAUUUGAUUCACUGUUUUACGAAAUCAAAAAUUUCUCAGUGAUGCAUGCCCCCUGGGACUCGUCAAGAACAUUCUCAAUCUAGCCACGAAUUAUUCAAUCACCUCCCUCUGGCACAAGUUUUACAUUUCUACCUGGAGUAACACACAAUAUAAUAUGGACAUUUAAUGAUAGUGAAAGUGAUUUGCAAUUUAGAGAUUGGUAUUUCGCUGGUAGUAGUAAUGGUUCACGACAUACACUUUUGGCCACUGUCUGUGAAGGGUGCUGUAUCAAAGUUAAGUGCACCAACUCUUUUAAAUUAUGACGUCUACAAACCUUCAACACUGCAAUUAAGAAAUAUCACUCAUAGUUAUGAUGGAACGUAUGAGUUUCAAUUAGCAAGAAAGGACAAUCCGUUUUCUCCUUUUGUAUCCAAAGUCAGAGUUUUCGUUGCAAUGAAACCAAAUGUUUUAAUUAGUUGCUCAAAUCCUCUGGUUGUGAAUAUAGGUGAUAGUGUGUCAUGUGUAUGUAGAGGUGAAGGAGGUAACCCUC